AAAACAUCAGCCAAAAAUCCUCUCCCCUCUCUCCUCUCUAAUCCACGACAACCCCCUCCUUCAAAUAAUCCCAAAGGCUUCUCUUGUUCUUCACAAAGAAGCAAGCUCUUCUCCUUCUUCUUUCCCCUCAAUAAUUCAGCAUAUAUUCAUAAAGAGUUUCUCCCAUCAAUAAACUCCAAGAAAACAGCCCUUCCACAGCCUACAAACUCAGCCCAAAGCAUCCCAAGAUCAUCCAUGGCCAAAACUCGAAGACCUCCAUGAAUCCUUCAAUUUCUCCUUCUCUUAUCUUUGAUUUUCUUCAAAUGGGUUUUCAAUGUAAUCAGAGUGGCGCAGCGGAGCGGAGUUGGAGGAAUCACAAGCCUUGAUGCCUUAUAUGUCGUCUCCGGAUUUCUUACAAAAGUAUCUCUCCACUUUUUCCUUUUAAAAGUCCAAUGUAUAACGGAGAUCUUUACGAGUUUAUUUUGUACUCUGAUUUUGGAAUCUAGUCUAUUAAACCGGGGUAUAUAAAUAAAGUUUAUUUUCUUCCGUUGUAUUACGAGUAUUUUGUAAACCCCGUUCAUAGUCAUGUAUGUAGCACUCUUUAUGAAAAUGGUUUCUU
Long non-coding RNA from Erythranthe guttata (spotted monkey flower), 598 nucleotides. RefSeq lists it as uncharacterized. The record is from RefSeq and is a predicted model, not a curated record. NCBI's taxonomy places the organism in Eukaryota, Viridiplantae, Streptophyta, Magnoliopsida, Lamiales, Phrymaceae.